UACGUAGGCAGCAAGCGUUGUUCGGAAUUACUGGGCGUAAAGAGUGUGUAGGCGGUGUUCUAAGUCUGUUGUGAAAUCUCCCGGCUUAACUGGGAGGGUGCGGCGGAAACUGGAAUGCUAGAGGAUGGGAGAGGUAAGCGGAAGUUCCUGGUGUAGCGGUGAAAUGCGUAGAUAUCAGGAGGAACACCUGUGGUGUAGACAGCUUACUGGACCAUUUCUGACGCUGAGACACGAAAGCGUGGGUAGCAAACAGG
Molecule: ribosomal RNA, 254 nt
Filed under: uncultured bacterium
Lineage: Bacteria
Description: partial 16S ribosomal RNA
Rfam family: Bacterial small subunit ribosomal RNA
Source: RNAcentral